This 108-nucleotide small nucleolar RNA is filed under the name Echinops telfairi (small Madagascar hedgehog). Its description in RNAcentral is "Small nucleolar RNA SNORA20 (ENSETEG00000025402.1)". Lineage: Eukaryota; Metazoa; Chordata; Mammalia; Afrosoricida; Tenrecidae. The record is from RNAcentral.
AUUACUAUGUCGAUACGAGCAGUUAUACGUAUGGGAUAAAAUAUACAAGGCCCUUGCAAAUUGAGAUAAAAAUAAUCAUUUUCUCUCUUCUGCGUGGUCUGGACAUUG